GUAGAGUGAAAAUAAAGAGCAGUAGUUUUGGUGACUAUUGGUGGAACUUGAUAUUAAUAAUGGUAAUGUUUAGUAUAGAUUAUGGAAUAUCACAUUGGCGAUCCUGCCAUGAAAGGGUGUGCUGAAGAAAUUGUAAUUGGUUUUGUGAUUGAAGUGUUUUGUUUUGUCAAAUGUUAUUUUUUUUAUUGUCACCGGAGGAAGAUGAGGGUCAACGACAUUUCAAUUGAAUCUAUGGUCGCUUAUUAAUCGUACUGAAUGAAUCGACCGGCUACAACACCUACCAUACACACAACGUCAACCAUACGGACUUAAGUUAGAACCUCGUCUGCCGAUUGCAUUUCUCUGUAACAUUAAUAAUUUGGUACAUUCCUAUUUCUGUCAGGGGAGGAUGUGGUAUUCUAGAAUAACAGUGUAGAUCAGGAAGUGAGGAGUUUGAAAUAGACGUGUAUAGAGUGUCAAUGUAGAGUGAAAAUAAAGAGCAGUAGUUUUGGUGACUAUUGGUGGAACUUGAUAUUAAUAA
Molecule: long non-coding RNA, 520 nt
Organism: Armigeres subalbatus
Lineage: Eukaryota; Metazoa; Arthropoda; Insecta; Diptera; Culicidae
Exons: 2
Source: RefSeq, a predicted model, not a curated record